UACAGAGGGGGCAAGCGUUAUUCGGAAUUAUUGGGCGUAAAGGGCGCGUAGGCGGCCUGGCAAGUGGAAGGUGAAAUCCCUCGGCUUAACCGAGGAACUGCCCUCCAAACUGCUUGGCUUGAGUCCGGGAGAGGUGAGUGGAAUUCCCAGUGUAGCGGUGAAAUGCGUAGAUAUUGGGAGGAACACCAGUGGCGAAGGCGGCUCACGGGACCGGAACUGACGCUGAGGCGCGAAAGCGUGGGGAGCAAACGGG
Molecule: ribosomal RNA, 253 nt
Filed under: uncultured bacterium
Lineage: Bacteria
Description: partial 16S ribosomal RNA
Rfam family: Bacterial small subunit ribosomal RNA
Source: RNAcentral